CCUUGCCAGCCCGCUCAGAACUCAAAGGAAUUGACGGGGCCGCACAAGCGGAGGAGCAUGUGGUUAAUUCGAUGAUACGCGAGGAACCUUACCUGGGCUCGAACGUAAGAUGACUGUAGGUGAAAGCUUACAUCUCUUCGGAGCAUUUUACGAGGUGCUGCAUGGUUGUCGUCAGCUCGUGCCGUGAGGUGUCGGGUUAAGUCCCAUAACGAGCGCAACCCCUACCUUUAGUUGCCAUCAGGUAAUGCUGGGGACUCUAAAGGAACUGCCUACGCAAGUAGUGAGGAAGGCGGGGAUGACGUCAAAUCAGCACGGCCCUUACGUCCAGGGCUACACACGUGCUACAAUGGCCGAUACAGAGGGCAGCUACCUGGUGACAGGAUGCAAAUCUCCAAAGUCGGUCUCAGUUCGGAUCGGAGUCUGCAACCCGACUCCGUGAAGUUGGAUUCGCUAGUAAUCGCGCAUCAGCCAUGGCGCGGUGAAUACGUUCCCGGGCCUU
Molecule: ribosomal RNA, 499 nt
Filed under: uncultured Sphingobacteriales bacterium
Lineage: Bacteria; Pseudomonadati; Bacteroidota; Sphingobacteriia; Sphingobacteriales
Description: bacterial SSU rRNA
Rfam family: Bacterial small subunit ribosomal RNA
Source: RNAcentral